AAAGUUAACCAAUCUACCGACUAAAGAGACAUUCCUUCUUUAAGGAACACACCAGCCAUGUGCAUCUGUUUUUCUUUUAGUCCUUCUCUCCAGGGCAGGUUUUAACUGAAAUGGUGGACAUUAAACUCUUUGGGUUUGGAAUGAAUAAACGGGUUCUUUGUUUUUUUUUAUAUUAAUUUUCAUAUCUAGGUUGUCGGCUCCUGAACGAAAACCAGAUUGUGCCUCUCGAGGCAUUUGCUUCCUAAACCUCCUUCAUUGCACCGACACAAUGGAUUAGCCUAUGAGAC
Molecule: long non-coding RNA, 287 nt
Filed under: Gossypium barbadense (sea-island cotton)
Lineage: Eukaryota; Viridiplantae; Streptophyta; Magnoliopsida; Malvales; Malvaceae
Description: long non-coding RNA (GBAR_LNC013791)
Source: RNAcentral